GAUGAACGUUGGCGGCGUGCCUAACACAUGCAAGUCGAACGGGAAGUCUUCCUUCGGGAAGAUGGAGAGUGGCGCACGGGUGAGUAACACGUAGCUUAUCUGCCCUGAAGAGCGGGAUAACGCACCGAAAGGUGUGCUAAUACCGCAUAAGCUCACAUGAACUAGAACAAUGUGAGAAAAGCUCCGGCACUUCAGGAUGAGGCUGCGGCCCAUCAGCUAGUUGGUAAGGUAAUGGCUUACCAAGGCAACGACGGGUAGGGGGCCUGAGAGGGUGACCCCCCACACUGGGACUGAGACACGGCCCAGACUCCUACGGGAGGCAGCAGUGAGGAAUAUUGCGCAAUGGACGAAAGUCUGACGCAGCGACGCCGCGUGGGUGAUGAAGGUUUUCGGAUCGUAAAGCCCUCUUCUUGGUGACGAGAAAGGACAGUAACCAAGGAAUAAGUGUCGGCUAACUACGUGCCAGCAGCCGCGGUAAAACGUAGGACGCAAACGUUAUCCGGAAUUACUGGGCGUAAAGCGCGCGCAGGCGGAUCAGCAAGUCAGUCGUGAAAGCUCCCGGCUAAACUGGGAGAGGUCGGAUGAAACUGCUGGUCUAGAGUGUGGUAGAGGUAUGUGGAAUUCCGCGUGUAGUGGUGAAAUGCGUAGAUAUGCGGAGGAACACCAGUGGCGAAGGCGGCAUACUGGGCCACAACUGACGCUGAGGCGCGAAAGCAUGGGUAGCGAACGGGAUUAGAAACCCCGGUAGUCCAUGCCGUAAACGAUGUACACUAGACGUUCGUGUGACUACGGUUGUGUGAGUGUCGAAGCAAACGCGAUAAGUGUACCGCCUGGGGAGUACGGUCGCAAGGCUAAAACUCAAAGGAAUUGACGGGGGCCCGCACAAGCAGCGGAGCGUGUGGUUUAAUUCGA
Molecule: ribosomal RNA, 912 nt
Filed under: uncultured bacterium
Lineage: Bacteria
Description: bacterial SSU rRNA
Rfam family: Bacterial small subunit ribosomal RNA
Source: RNAcentral